UCUAGAAGAAAAGUAAGAAUUUCUAAUGGAAUGUACCUAAUGCACAUUCACCCAGACAGUCCAGUACAUGGAAUAGGAAGGAAGACCUAUGCUGCUCAGGGAUGGACAAAGGGAAGGUGGGCAAGAAUAUAGGGACCUAGUGCAGCAUUAUUCUGGGAUGUUCUCCUGUGAUCCUCAUUCUUCAGGUGAGU
Molecule: long non-coding RNA, 191 nt
Filed under: Ictidomys tridecemlineatus (thirteen-lined ground squirrel)
Lineage: Eukaryota; Metazoa; Chordata; Mammalia; Rodentia; Sciuridae
Description: lncRNA (ENSSTOG00000031072.1)
Source: RNAcentral